RNAcentral lists this ribosomal RNA (301 nucleotides) under uncultured bacterium. RNAcentral's name for it is "partial 16S ribosomal RNA". It matches the Rfam family "Bacterial small subunit ribosomal RNA", at positions 509 to 807 of the family's 1533-position model. The record is from RNAcentral.
CAGCAGCCGCGGUAAUACGUAGGGUGCAAGCGUUAAUCGGAAUUACUGGGCGUAAAGCGUGCGCAGGCGGUUUGUUAAGACAGAUGUGAAAUCCCCGGGCUCAACCUGGGAACUGCAUUUGUGACUGGCAAGCUAGAGUGUGGCAGAGGGGGGUGGAAUUCCGCGUGUAGCAGUGAAAUGCGUAGAUAUGCGGAGGAACACCGAUGGCGAAGGCAGCCCCCUGGGCCAAUACUGACGCUCAUGCACGAAAGCGUGGGGAGCAAACAGGAUUAGAUACCCCCGUAGUCCCUGUCUCUUAUAC